This 476-nucleotide long non-coding RNA is filed under the name Eucalyptus grandis. RNAcentral's name for it is "long non-coding RNA (EGRA_LNC003708)". The record is from RNAcentral. Lineage: Eukaryota; Viridiplantae; Streptophyta; Magnoliopsida; Myrtales; Myrtaceae.
GUAAAACAAUUAACUCGUCAGCCCCACAAACCAUAUCCCAUCCCAUUUCAUUAAUCAAUAUGCACAAUGCCUCAUGUCCGUGCUCCUUUCACUUGAUUCAUAUUCCUUGUGCUUUUUUCUAACUGGACGUGAGGUUUCUUCUUCAACUGUCUCAGGAUGCGUUGAUUUUGAUGGAGGUGCAAUUGUCCUAGGUUGAGCUGAUUGAGAAGGAGCUGGAGCUGCAACUGUCGUAGGCUGAACUGAUUCUGAUGGACCUGUAACUGGGUUUUUCUUACUCUUCUUUCUUGUUGGCGCAACCAAUGUCUUCUUCUUUUUUGUUGGUGCAGCCGUUGAUUCUUGAGUUUGGCCUUGAGAGAUAAGAACCUCUGAACUUCUCCCAGGCUUCAAAAAGAAAACUCAAUUAUUAACAAAAGUUUGCACCAUAAAUUAAAUUAAAUACAGCCUAGUAAGCUUGUAAAACUUACAUUAAGAAUAAC